CGAGGUUUAGGGAUGGAGAUGGAAGGUUCGUAUCAUACAGUCCCAGCAGCAGCGGUAAUACUAUAGAAAUGCCGAGUGUUAUCCAUACCAGGCAUU
RNAcentral lists this ribosomal RNA (96 nucleotides) under Hematodinium sp. RNAcentral describes it as "partial small subunit ribosomal RNA". Lineage: Eukaryota; Dinophyceae; Syndiniales; Syndiniaceae. The record is from RNAcentral.